This 350-nucleotide ribosomal RNA is filed under the name uncultured bacterium. RNAcentral's name for it is "bacterial SSU rRNA". It matches the Rfam family "Bacterial small subunit ribosomal RNA", at positions 917 to 1267 of the family's 1533-position model. The record is from RNAcentral.
GGGCCCGCACAAGCGGUGGAGCAUGUGGUUUAAUUCGAUGCAACGCGAAGAACCUUACCUACCCUUGACAUCCUCGGAAUCUGCCGGAGACGGCGGAGUGCCUUCGGGAACCGAGUGACAGGUGCUGCAUGGCUGUCGUCAGCUCGUGUUGUGAAAUGUUGGGUUAAGUCCCGUAACGAGCGCAACCCCUGUCCCUAUUUGCCAGCGAUUCGGUCGGGAACUCUAGGGAGACUGCCGGUGACAAACCGGAGGAAGGUGGGGACGACGUCAAGUCAUCAUGGCCCUUACGGGUAGGGCUACACACGUGCUACAAUGGCAGGUACAAAGGGUUGCAAGACGGCGACGUGGAG